Non-coding RNA from Phalacrocorax carbo (great cormorant), 3701 nucleotides. NCBI's taxonomy places the organism in Eukaryota, Metazoa, Chordata, Aves, Suliformes, Phalacrocoracidae. The record is from RefSeq and is a predicted model, not a curated record.
GCUGCGCGCGGCGCGGCGCGGCGCGGCGGGGAGGGGCCCGGCCCGGCCCGGCCCGGCCCGGCCCGGCCGGGGCGGCGGCGCCGGAGCCCUGGGGCGGCGCGGGGGCUCCGGCUCGGCCGCUCCGCGCCCUGCGCUGCGCUGCGGUGGGCCCGGGUCGGGCAGUGCGGCCGAGCCCGCCUGGGUCGGGCCGGGCGCCGGGGGACCCCUGGUCAGCGGCGAGCUGGGGUUCGCCUCGGGCUCAUCGGGGGUUUUCCUUCGCUCCGUUUCCUCGGGAGGGCUCGGGCAGGCCGGGAAGGAGGGCGGGAACGUGCCCGCGGUCCGGGCAGGCGGAGGAAGAUCCGUCUCCGAGCAGGCACGUGCUGCUGCGGCGUUGCCCGAAAUGCUCCCGGGCUGGAAACCCUCCGAGCUGGCCCUGACCCACCCGGCUGGCAUCUGCUCGAGGGCAGGAAGGCUCUGCAGAGGGACCUGGACAGGCUGGAUCGACGGGCCGAGGCCAACUGGACGAGGUUUAACAAGGGCAAGUGCCGGGUCCUGCCCUUGGGUCACACCAGCCCCAGGCAAGGCUCCAGGCUUGGGGCAGAGCGGCUGGAACGUGCCCGGCGGAGAAGGCCCCUGAGGUCAUGCCGUGAAAGGGCGCACUAAGAAAACCUGAUGCCCUGAGCACGUUACUUCUGGAGAAACGCUUGGCCUCUGCAGCUCGGACUGUUUGUUUCCUUGCCCCUGCUGGUUCUGCCUGGGACAUCCCUCAUUUGAAAUGGCAGCGUGAGCGUGCUCCUUCCUUGUCUUGCAGUGGCCUGGAGGGCCCAGGAGCAGGGGGGCACAGGCUGCGCUGAGGGCUCUGGGCAGCACGGCCCCUACCAGGCUCCCAGCCUGGCAGCACGGGGUCACAGGCUGUAUGGAGCACGGCCCCGCCAAGUCCCACCUCACUGCCCGCUGGGAGCCCCACGCCGGUGCAGGGCCAAGCCGUGCUGGGGCAGUGCGGGGCUCCAGCUACACAGCCAUGCCAGCCGCUUUAGCAGGGGAGCACAAGGCGCCCGCUUCCCCCUGGGCAGCCCCAGGCUUGCCUGGGCCCAUGGACCCGCCAGCGCAGCGGGCCGUCCAGGCAGCAGAGCUGCCAGUGCCGUUGAUGGCAGGAGGGCCCUGGCAGCAAAGGGUGCCUGAGGGGCUUGCGGCAGGCUGGGCAGCUCUCGCACUCACGGGUCAGGGCGGCUUUUGGCCGUGAUCCUCUGGGUAGGGACGGGCUUCCCUCAUCCAGCUCUGGAAGGGGGCUCCCGUGGGAGCGGUGCCUGUCCCUGGAAUGCUCCAGACGGGCUUUCCGAGUCAACAGAGAACGUGGCCGCCUGGGACGUCCUUGAUGGAGAAGGCACUAUACCCCAGGACGCCAUGUCCAUGACAGCAACUGCAGGACGGAAUAACAAAGGCUUGCAAAAUGCAGCGCCUGUGGGAGCGAAGAGCCUGGCCUUAGCGUUAGAUGGUGGAGCCCAUGACGGCAGCACCCCAAGGGCUGUGGAACCAGACAGCCUUUCUGGGAAGCCCAGAGGCGGUGGUCCGUCAGAAGGGAACACGGGUCAGGGAGCUCAAAUUGGCAAGGGCAGAACAGAAUAACGAGGGGCGAAACGCUCAAAACUUCCCCGUCGACAGUAACCAAUGUGACACAGAAGGACCCCCAACAGAGAGCAGCGAGAUCUAGAACGGGGACGCGCACGGGCGGAGGAACGGGGUUUCCGACAGGCCAGUCACACAGGCUCUCGACACCCGUUCGACAGAAACUCGGCAACAGCCUGGGUGCCGGGAAGGUGCUAGGCCAAAUUGUUCCCUCCGCCCCUCCGGCCCCACUACCGGGACAGUAAGGGAGGAGCUCCGAAGCCUGGGAGCCCCGAAGAGCUGGCCCAAGGCUUGUUGCUCGACCCGCAACCCGGGCCUGCCAUCUGCCCGGCUGCCGCAGUGUCACCGAAAUCAGGAACAAAACUCCUUAACAUCAAUGCAGUGAUAUCCUGAAGAAAAUGGUCGUUUUGGAAUUCUCUGCUGAGCCACAAGAACGAACUACGUGAGCUCGGCAAAACAGAAUUUGAUGGCCAGAGUUGGGAACUGAGAGAUAGAGAAGCACUUGUUUUACCACUAUUUCCUUGAGGAGAGCUGAGAGACUGAUCAAAGCAAACAUCCCACCUCAGAAGCCGCAGAGAACUGGGCAAUAAAGUGUAUAGUUAAGGAGAAGAACUGGUUCUUCCCCCAGAGGGUGGUGGAGCCCUGGAACAGGGUCCCCAGGGAGGCCGUCACGGCACCAGCCUGGCGAUAUUCAAGCAGCACUUGGACAACGCCCUCAGAGGCACGGUGUGAAUUUGGGCUUGUCCUGUGCCGGGACGGGAGCUGGACUUGACGGUCCUUGUGGGUCUCUUCCAGCUCAGGGCAUUCUACGAUUAGACGCAAACUGCACAGUGAGGAAAAAUCGAGGUCUGAGUAGCGAAUACAAAGAUUUCUGAGGUAGCACUGACGUGAGCCAGUACGCUCCAGGGACACAAUGUCAUAUGAACACAACAGUGCUGGUCUUGGGCCCCAGCUGGCUUUAUGUUUUUACUCCUAGCUCAUGUCACCUGUAAAAACAGUAGCUGAGAAUUUAUUAUAAAGAGCAUAAUAGAAGAAGCAGCUUCUGAAAUGAAGGAAUAUUCUCGGGCCAACCCUGAAAAACGCUAACAACUUUAACUUUCCGUCCCUACAGUCAGCUGGAAUCUUACAGUCGCCAGCUAAAAUUCAAGUCUUACAAAAAUGCAAAAUCGAACCUACAAGCCCAACACACAAAUAUAUUAUCUACCUUUUUUUUGCCCCCUCAAAAAACAAGUCUGAACACGUGACUGUUGACUGUGAUCAAAGGAAGAUGUGACAUGACCCUUCAAACAUUCUGGAUGCGUAGGUGGGACUAAACCGUGUUUGUGAAUUAAGAAUAUGCAUGCUCAUUAAGACAGGCGGGUUACAUUUACCACCAAACCUCUACGUCAGCAUUUGCCAACACUGUUCAGCUUUGAGUACCCAGAGCUGCGAUCAGUUAACGUGAGAGCACCUCCUAGUAACAUCCAAGUAUUAAACUAACAACUAUACCUCCCUAGCGCGUAAACGGAAGGAAGCUCAGAUUGCGCCCCCUUCUCCUUACGCUGCCUUAGAACGUGACAGGCAUUUGACUCCAGGUUGAAAAAGCGCCACGGUCACAGUCUAAGGAAACUGGAGUUUCCCAGGUCUCAGAGUAAUUCUAGAGCUAAAGUGGUGACAGACAUCACCUUUAGAUCAGAUAAUACAUGCCAACACUCAUCACUGACCCGAGAAGGCCACCUCCUCCUGUCCUGCCCAAGGGUUUGAAAUCCAACACACUUUCUUCCGAAAACGGGACGCUACAAAUAAAUAAGAGAACACCGUUAAGGCAUUACUUGAGAUGCGACUAGAAACACAUUACGCGAGCAACCAAGCACUUGUCUGGAAGCACUGGAGCCUUUCGGGUACUGUUUUUCACCGCAGUUUGCUCGAGAAGAAAUAUAACAGACAGAACAGAUGCUGAGAAAUUUCAGCUACCCUGGAGAUAGCUGUGGUGAACAAUAAGAUUGAGACUAAGUGCUGCUUCUCAGCGGGAAAGUACGCACCAAAUAAAUACAGUGCUCAGACUGGUAUAAUUUGUGAGUGAUACAGAGGCAAAAAAAAAAAGCAGACGUGAGGAA